GGAGUAUGGACCGUGUCUCAGUUCCAUUGUGGCCGUUCAUCCUCUCAGACCGGCUACCGAUCGUCGGCUUGGUGGUCUCUUACACCGCCAACAAGCUAAUCAGACGCAUCCCCAUCCCUUAGCGAUAAAUCUUUGGUAUUCGUCAGAUGUCCUCAAAAUACAACAUAGAGUAUUAAUCCGACUUUCGCCGGGCUAUCCUCUACUAAGGGGAAGGUUGGAUACGCGUUACUCACCCGUGCGCCGGUCGCCAGCGACAAUAGCAAGCUAUCGUCCUGCUGCCCCUCGACUUGCAUGUGUUAAGCCUGUAGCUAGCGUUCAUC
This 320-nucleotide ribosomal RNA is filed under the name uncultured Prevotella sp. Its description in RNAcentral is "partial 16S ribosomal RNA". The record is from RNAcentral. Lineage: Bacteria; Pseudomonadati; Bacteroidota; Bacteroidia; Bacteroidales; Prevotellaceae.